Long non-coding RNA from Rosa rugosa (rugosa rose), 2260 nucleotides. RefSeq lists it as uncharacterized. The transcript is spliced from 2 exons. NCBI's taxonomy places the organism in Eukaryota, Viridiplantae, Streptophyta, Magnoliopsida, Rosales, Rosaceae. The record is from RefSeq and is a predicted model, not a curated record.
CAUCACAUGCAAGUUGUGGGAUUCUCUUUUAUCUCUGGCAAUGAGCCUAGCGCCACAAAAAAUAUCAUCUGCCCCUCGUUUAUUUCCAACUGGGCAAAAUAUUCAUAUCUUCUUCAAAGAGUUGGUGUUGGCUUUAAAAACUGUUUGAGAGGAAACAGUUGCGUGUAGGAGACAUCUCCCACUUCAAUUAAAAAACUCCCAACCCACGCUAUCAUUUCAGAUUCUCAAAAGCUUUGGAUCCCUUUCUCCUUUCCUCUUUGUUUCGCCUCAAGUUUUAGGUUUAUGAUAGAUUAAUUUCUCCAGACCUCCUUCAUUAACAACGAGAGGUCCACACCGCGAUUAAUUUUAAUUGCGAUUGCGACCGGUUUAUAUCUCGAUUAGACAAUGCUGCUUAGAACUAGGUAAAAUAGACCUUAGGAGAUGUCUUUUUUGCAUAGAUACUAAGCAACCCUUUUAACUUAAUUUUGGAAAAACAAGAUUUUAAAGUGGUGGGUUGGUUUCUGGUUUCUGGACCAGGUCAAUGGAGAUUAUUACACAUAUUCCCUGUCUGCUUGGGUAAUGUCUUUGCGGAAUGUCGUAAAUGCCCUUCCGUCGACAAGGACACCUCCUCCCUCUGUGUUUCUAGGACAAUCAGUUUUGCUGUGUGGUCUUCCGUGACGGGCUGUCCACGUGAUUGACAAUUUCAGAAUUGCUGACAGCUGACUUCACAAAUCCGAUCCAUUUUUCCCUAUUUUUUAUUUUUUGUUUUUAUUUUCUGUGAUGGGAAAUGAAAUUCAUAUUAUAUAGAAAAAGUGACGUGAGGAACUCCAAAAGCCCUUGGGGCGUUCUUAAACCAGUGUCACAAGAAACUUGGGUCGGCAAAUAUUUCCUUAUCUUUAUGAUAAUUUAGUUUCUUCUCCUUUUUCCUGUUUCUGGCAUGUCAAAUUGGCUCAAUUAUGCACAAGCAAUACUCAUAAUCAAAGGGUUUUUAAUAUUAUUAAUGCCGUCCUUUGUCUACCUGAUGUCCACUUGGCGCCAUCUCAUGGGCUCGUGGUUCUUGCACGUCUGACACGGCUGCAAAAUUGGGCGAAAUUAUUAAUUUGGAUAAGUCGGAACUAGGAAGUAAGUAAUGGGAAAAGUAUUUUACAUUAUGAGCAUGAAGUGCUAGCAUCUCUGUUUUUUUCAUAUUCAUUCCAGUCAAUGUUGCAGAGGACUUAGGAAGAUAGUGGGAGGUAUGAUCCCUCGUCUAAUCUGGGCUUUGUUAAUUAACAAAACCCAGAUCAGGGAUUAUAAUAGAUAAUGUUCUAUAGCAGGUCGUUUACUUUUAUUAAGAAACAUAAAACACACAAUGCCAUGAUUAGCAUCUUUGACAAAAUGUGUUGCAGAGUUUUUUAAAUUCUUCUUCUGGAUUAUGAGGUACCGUUUACGUAAACUCGCAGGAAUGUGCAAGAAAUCAUAUACUUUUGGGAAUUUAAGGUCAUGGAUCAGUUUUCAAACUUGGGUCCCUUGCCUCAUUUUAUUUUCAAUAAUCGCAGCUGUCCCUGUUAACAAUCCACUGUGUUUUUUUAAUUCGAUCUUAGUCACCAACUGGUCUUGAAGAUUCAAACUUUUAGUUAACCCUGUUUCUCCUGCACCAUCAUACCCAUCUUUAUUUGUCCUCUGGUUUCUUGUAUGACACUGAAACGCUGAGGAGGAAUAUUGCAGUUGAGCGUUUAUUGUGGAAAAUUAUGCUAGAAUCAGAAUGUCUGUUUAUCAGAAUAAGAUUCUGUGUUCGAUUUUUCAAUGAUGCAGAUUUGAGUUGGAGUGGUCUUAGUCCGUUUGAAAACAAUGUUGAGGAAUUGGGUUCCUUUUGGGUGAUUAUCUUGCCUUUUCCACAAAGGGAUUACGGAACCUCGCACGAAGGUGAUGAUUGAUCUUUUAAGAUUAUAUUCGAUUCUUCCACAAUCUGAGGAUUGUUAUUGGCUUCUAAAUCAUAUGCCUUUCUAUACAAGAAUGUGAAUAAAGUGUGCUAUGAGAAAUUUAGAAAACUUGGGGAUUUGAUUUACUCUUUACAUAAACCAUCUGCUAACAUCCAUUGCUCAAUUUGUUCUUUCAUAACAACCCCGACUACAAGUUAAUUUUUCAACGCCGAUUUCUAUCUUGAAUCACAGACAAGGCGGCGGUUCUAAAACUUAAGGGACCCAAGACUGACUUUACUGGAUUGAUUUUCUAGAUGGUUAUUCUGACAAAUUAAGCAACAAGAAGCUAGCCCAAUUACUGGUUCAGAAGGAGACUUUACUGU